RNAcentral lists this long non-coding RNA (787 nucleotides) under Paramuricea clavata. Lineage: Eukaryota; Metazoa; Cnidaria; Anthozoa; Malacalcyonacea; Plexauridae. The record is from RNAcentral.
CCGGCUUUAUUUUACUACUGAAUGGCAAUUCAAAGAACUUUCUACUGCAAUGAUUUAGAAUUUCCACUUCAGUGAGAUUUUACACNNNNNNNNNNNNNNNNNNNNCUAUAUUAUCCGCAUUUUACAACAUUUUGCAACGAAACUUUGGAAUAUUACUAAUUUUGUGACGCUCUUUCAAGCUGUGAUGAAAUUUUUGUCUAGACUUGUUGAGUUCAAAAUUUUGGUUAAUUGGGGAAUGGUCCAUUAUGAGUUUGAGAUCAUCUUGUAACGGCAAGGUUGAUGAGCCAACAGACCGCAACAAGUUGUUCCAACAAGACUGAUAUGGUCUACACGUAACAAGUUGUUAACAAGUUGAUGACAACAAGCUCGUGGCAACUUGUUACGAAGACCUGUAUUGACUGUACUCUUGUUAGAACAACUUUUUUUACUGUCAUCAACCUUGUAACCUGUUCGUUACUCUGAAACAACAUGUGAGAUUUUUAGUCGUUCCAGUACAAUUUUGAAAACGAAGAUAGAUUUUGAAAAAGAUGCGAAACAAUUUUCACUUAUAUUUCCUUUCAAAAUAUUUUACUUUCUUAAGCGAUAUAUAUGCACUUGAGCAUAGCUAUUUUGUUAUCUGUAUUUAAAAUCAAGGACGUCAAUCACCAAAUGUAAUAUUUUUUUACUUAAAUGCCGCACGAAUGCAAAUCAAUUAUUAUGCUAAUUCAGUCAAGUUAUUGGACCCACGCUGAGCAAAUGAAGAAAUUACAAUUGAAUCAAUGAAAUGAAUAUAAAUUGAAAAGAUGGU